Molecule: long non-coding RNA, 233 nt
Filed under: Olea europaea (common olive)
Lineage: Eukaryota; Viridiplantae; Streptophyta; Magnoliopsida; Lamiales; Oleaceae
Description: long non-coding RNA (OEUR_LNC000306)
Source: RNAcentral
UUUCUGGUCCCUCUACUUCAAACCAAGGAGGUACUACAGUGCCAAAUCAAAAUAAUGGUAGUGGCAUGCCUAACUUGGGGGGUAAUUCAAACGUGAGAGAUAAUGUCCUAAACAAUGGACAGAAUAUUCCACGUGGUAAUGAGGGAACAGAUGUCCAGGCUAACGGUAAUGGACCUAAUUAUGGUAAUUUUGUUGCCAAUCAAGGACCAAACAUCAGACCUCAUGCAAAUCAA